GAUCGGUAUCUGCGGCUGCUGAAAAAAUCAUGGAGACUCCAUAGAACGCUUAAAUAGUUGAGGUAUAUACACUGGAGCAACUCAAGUGCAUGUGUGACUUUUUGAGAAGAAACCACACAAGGCUGUUGGUUAGCAAUCACCAUGUAAAAGGGUUUGCAGAAACCAGACAGAGAGCCUGUGUGGAGAUACUAUUGGCUGCCCAGGUCGGACUGCCUCAAACCUGAGGCGGUCUUGGAGUGAUCUAACAAAAGAGUGAAUGAUUAUGCUAGGAAUCAGACAAAGACUGGUGGUAAAGUGAAGCCAAAUAUGGAGAUUGUGCUGGCAGCCAUGAGGGACAAGGCCAAGCAUAGGGUCCAUGGCCAGGAGACAGAGACUGGGGCAUCUGAGCAACUGCUUUCACAUAAGGCAGCCUGCUUCUGGACAUGGGGAAGCCAGAGGAGGAAAAGGAGGUUGAGGCGGAACCUCAAGCUGUUCCCGGGGCACCAUUGACAUCCAGGGUAGAUGGGGUCUAGUUGAUUUUUAGGACACCAAGAUGACAUCCAGCAUAAGAGAAGAGAAGGUGCUCUUCCUGUUAUGACCAGCACACCAAGUACCAGGAGCAUGGAUCUGCAGCAAGUUCAGCAGGAGACGCUCAGAAUGCAGCAAGCUAUGCUGCAAACAUUUAAAAUCAUCCAUGUUGAUUUUUGUAAUUAUCCACAAUUGUUUGCAGCAGUUUGUUAAUGGAAAUCAGUAGUAACAUUGAACAAUGCAACUUCCUCUCCAUUUUUUUAAAACUGGAAACCUGUUGAAUAUUGUUUUUAGAAAAUGAAGUAAAUCACCUUGAACUUUGGAAAUUUCCAAAAGCAUAUAUUUUAGCAAGUAAUAUGAAAAUGAGUUAUACCUUGGUCACAUUUGGUGGCCUUACGGCAAGUCAAAAUCAGUUGUUUUAUGUAUUACUAUACGAACCACCUACAUGAAGCUGGUACAAGGAUGAGUAAAAUGGUUGAUUUCGACUCGCCAUAAUGCCACCGUCGAAUGUGACCUAGGCAUAAGUUGUUGAUGUCAUUGCCUCAUAAUUUUGAACAAAAAGUGACAAAGACUACAUUCUUCAGGAUUGAGAAAGUUAAACUUGAACUUUAUUCUCAUCUCAGUAGAUAGAAGAUAAUGUUAUUCAUUCAAUACUGCGGUAGAAUUUGAACAAAUGCCUUGCAAUGCAACAUAAAAAUUUAGGUUCUGAAAUCUUGAUGGGAAUCCCUGUGCAAGAACAGUUUUAAAGUUUAUUUAUACAUGUUCAUAUUGCAAGUCUGUUAUAUGAUCUGUCAGCAUUGUUUGUGGAUCUCACACUGGUGUCAUUAGCCAUAGUUCCAAUCUUACGCCAUCUGCAAAACAUUUUCCAAGGGUACUGUUAUGUUGAUUUAAAAGAAAAGGGACCUUGUCAACAUUCAAUCACAUCUUUCAAUACGCAUAUAAGGGUAUGGGAUACUGUUAGCAUUGAAAUUAAAAUAUUACUUGAUAAAAUUUAUUUUCAAUUAAAUUAAAAGUAUUAUAAUGGUUCAUAACAAGUUCUUUUGACUGUCACUCUGACUGUUCUUAAUAAGUGAUUGCGAAUAAAAUUAUUUGAAAUGUAUAA
Molecule: long non-coding RNA, 1609 nt
Organism: Lytechinus pictus (painted urchin)
Lineage: Eukaryota; Metazoa; Echinodermata; Echinoidea; Temnopleuroida; Toxopneustidae
Exons: 5
Source: RefSeq, a predicted model, not a curated record